Molecule: long non-coding RNA, 1523 nt
Filed under: Anser brachyrhynchus (Pink-footed goose)
Lineage: Eukaryota; Metazoa; Chordata; Aves; Anseriformes; Anatidae
Description: lncRNA (ENSABRG00000006904.1)
Source: RNAcentral
UCUCUAGUACACACACUUGCUUUGAACACAGGAAAGCAGGCCACCUUUGGUGGGGGGUGGGGGUGGGGAUAAAAACCUCACACUAAUUCUGCCUAGUCCAGCCAGCCACGCCGCUGACCCCACCAGGAGAGGCCUACCCAGAAGCUCCACAUCUCCUUUCCAUAUGCACCAAGAACAGCCUGCUUUUACACAUGGCUGGGGGUGUUCAGCUGUCCAGGGGGCACCUGACUCUCCAGCUUUCUGAUUUCCGCUGCAUCGAGGCAUGUCCCAUGACAGGCCAGGCAGGAAUCACAUCCCCAGUUCUCUGCUAAGCCAACAAAAUUGCUGUGCACAUGUUGAUGAGGCAAGCCAGCUACUGCUUGCACCACCUCACCGCUACCUGCAUGGAUGGAGUAACUGUCUACCGUACGAACAGCAGUCCGAGGACAGCAACGUCUUUUGUGGACAGUCUGUUUUGUGGGCUACCUGUGUGAAGCAGCUCUUAGAGAGUGGAAGUGGAGAAGACAGCUCUACCCAGGCUUAGACACACUGUCUUCUUGACAUGGCCUUCAUUACUGCUGGGUAGGGAGCCGAUAAGCAAGCGAUGCUGUUCUUCAAGUGCAAUUCAGAAAAAGACGUACCCUCCCAAACACUAAAAAGCUCACACAUUGGAAAGUCAAUCUCUCUUCUGUAUGCUGGCAGUGGGAAACCACAGGACUCUCCUGGCUCGUUUUUAAGAGGUAAGACAUGCUUCUUGGCAGAUGAUGGUUUAGGAAGGCUCGUCUUGCAGCAUUAGGGCUGGCUGAGGGAAACCUUCAAAGGAGAAGUCCAUGCUGGACAGGGAGUAAGGUCUGCUGGAACAGUGCCAUGUGGUAUUUUAUGCUUUUAUACAUAUAAUUUACUAGACUAGUCUCCAAACAUCUUAUUUCUGCAAUUGUUUGCAGUUGUUCAUUUCUUCUUCAUUAAAAUUGUAAGGAUAUAUUCAAAGGUAAGAUUCCAUAUGCAUAUAUUUCAAUAAUAACAUUACUGAUCAGCUCUGUCCCAAAAGUAGCAAAUAUUUCUGUAAAUUUGUUAAUUGGAUUUCAUCUAUAGCUGAAACCUAGUUGCAUGAGAGAUCCAGGUGGAUUUGUUCAGCAACACAGAACACGCAAAGACAGAAUUUAUACAGCAGUUACCACUGCAGGCUAGAAUUAUCUUGAUCAGAGUUGUUAAAGCAUCCUGUUUUAAUAUUUUAGUCAGGGAAAAAAAAUAUUAAUUAAAUCAAAAUACUUGGGUAGAUCAGAAAAGAAGAAGGAAAAAACAAAACACAAUACUACUUUCUCCUAUUUAGUCCACACAAAAUCUUCCUUAAUUUCUCCUUUUCUUCCAUAUGCCUGGUAUUAGGGCUCCAUGUAACCAAACAUUUUGCAAGUCACUGGUGCCAGAUUUUGCAGAAUAUCUCGGACAGGUCUCUUCAUUUCCAUUUCAUUUUGUCUUUCUAUGUCUGACACAUAUUGUUAUUUAAAUGAAUGCUUUUGAACUCAGAUUUUUUUAAUGCAAAUGUG